RNA transcript from Choloepus didactylus (southern two-toed sloth), 3784 nucleotides. It is a transcript of the gene named nascent polypeptide-associated complex subunit alpha, muscle-specific form-like, with no coding region annotated. The transcript is spliced from 4 exons. The record is from RefSeq and is a predicted model, not a curated record. Lineage: Eukaryota; Metazoa; Chordata; Mammalia; Pilosa; Megalonychidae.
CCGGGGUGGGGGUGCCAGUCUGCCCGGAGUCGCCCGCGGCUGGUACCCCGGGUCCCACCCCGCAGCGGACAACAGCCGCUGUUUUCCUGACAGCAGCUGAGCUGGGGUUCACCCGGGGCAGCCGGCUGCUCCCACUUCCGUCCUCUGCCGCCCUGACCCCCAGGAGGAUGAGCCGGUGGGGGCGGGUAGGGCAGCCCUGGGGGGCUGGGGGGGAUCGAGGGGAGGCAGGGCUCAGAGGUGGGAGGGCUGGGGGGAUCCCAGCCCAGGAGAGGGGCCAUGGAGGGCUGUGGGGUCUCCCCGUACCCCCAGCCCGUGUACCCUUUAGGGAGUGCCUUCUUCUAUCCCGCUGCCAUGAGCCGCUUUGAAAGAGGCUCCCCGCAGACCCCACAGACCCCACAGACCCCGCAGACAAGCAGGCCGAGCCCCCAACCCAGCCACCGCGGGGGGAAGUGGGAACGCGCAGGGGGGCCAGGCCGGGCAGGGCGCGGGAAGGCGGGAAGGCGGGAAAGGAGGGGGCGCGUGGGGUGCCGAGGAGUGGGAGGAGGGGCCGGACUCGGGGUGCCCUCGGGGGUGGCCCCUCUGGACCGACUCGGCAUGUGGACGAGCCGUGUGGUGCCGGGGAGGGCGGUGCCCAGGGUGGCUCCGGGGUUUGGGCCUGGGCAGCUGGGGCACUGUGGGGACGUGUGUCAGGACGGACAGACGGCCGGGGCACUGCCCCGGGGGAGGGCUGCGUCUCGGGGUUUGGGUCAGGCCGGGGUGGGAGUGAAGGGGGGCCCUCCGCCCGGCUCCCCGCUGGCAGGCCGACCCCUCCCAAUGGGGGUACCCCUCUAACUGCAGAUCACUCCCUGGUGACUUUCAUGAACCCACAAAAGUGAUACCUAACUUGGUGUAGAAAAUUCAGACCCCACUGAGGGUGCGGUUGAAGUGGGGGGCUGACUCGUGGGUGGGGGGCCCCCACGUCCUCCUGCCACCCCAUCAGGGAAGUGAUGGGCUGGGAGGGUCCCGCGAGGGCAGCGUCGGGGGUCCCGUCGCCCAGGAGACUGGGCCAGGCCUCCGUGGGGGCCCCGGGGGUCUGGGGUUCCCGCCCCAUCCAGGCGCUUUGGGGGCUCCUCCCUGCGGGGCCCCGCCCCUGUCGCCCCUACGGGCCUGUUUCCUUCCGGGAAACCUCUCCCGAGGGCAGGAGCUGCGCCACGGGCCUGAGCAUCCGCGCGAAGCGACCCUGUAGCCAAAUGCUCCCCAAGAAGGCAGCGGCGACUGCGCGGGGGACCCUGGUCGCCACCGUCGGUUGCGAUUCGCUCCGCCCCGGGACGCAGGACGCGCAGGCCCCGACCUCCGCCUAGACCGCGCUUCCCGCCCCAGGCCCGCGGGGUCCCCGGAGGGGCUGACCUGCGCCCAGGGCGCUCCCCUCCCGCCCGCCCCUCGGAGCAAGGGCAGGGCCCACCUGGGGAGCACCUGUGGCGUCGGGGCGAGGGGGGCCUGGCAGCGCCCCCACCGCCCACUCAUGCGGCUGCAGGGGGGGCGCCCGCAGAGCCGUGUGGCAGCUCAGGGUCGCGGGAGACGCGCCUUGGGCAGGGGCAGCCUGAUGCCGUCCCCUGGGAGCCUCCCCCAGAGGGAUCCCGCUGGAACGGCAAGGACGGGGCUCUGAGGAGUUGGGGCCCACACCCCGGGGGAAGGCCCUCGGUCCGUGACAGUGAGUGCUUUGAGGGGCUGCCCGUCGAGGAGGGGUGCCGGGGAGGCCCCGAGGUGCUCAGCCUUCGGGUCCCUUCAGGCCUCCCGGUCACCCCUGUACCGGCUGGAACAGGGGGGCAGCAUCCCCAGGCCCUGAGCCCAUCCCCCAGUCACCCCACGUAUGACAACCUGGUCCCAAGGAGUGGGCUGGACUUGGGGUGCAUCUGAGCACAACAGUGAGGAGCAAGGCCGGGCGUAGGCCCAGGGGUGUCUGGGGUGUGCCUGGGGGUGACCCUGUCUGAGCCCUUGGUGUGGGGCUCCCAGAAGAGACCCAGGCAGGUGGGGAGUGAGGAGGGAGACGGGGAAGGGGGACACCCACGAGGAUGGCAGGGCCUCUGAGAGCCAGUGCGGCUGGGAGGGGUCGAGGGGCCGGGGCAUCUGUUGGGGGGACAAGGCCCAGUCCUCUCAGCUCAGGAGAACCCCGAGGGACCGUCCCAGCUUCAGGGCACCCUGCGGGACCCGCUGGGGACUUCACCCAAACUGCCUCCCAACCAGCCCCCCAAGCGCGUCCUGCCGCGCCCCCCCGGCCCUGCCCCGUCCUCCCCCCACCCACCGGGCCCUGUUUGGUCCUCCCAUCACCCCGAACCCCCGCCCCAUCCUGCUCUGCCCCAUCCCCGUCUCCCCACCUGGUCCCCAGAGGCCGAGGCGGGGAAACUCCAGCCGUGGUGAGGAGCGCGGACACGGACACAGAGCUGAAGGCGACACAGAUACCGGAGACCCCGAGAAUUGCCAGGGCUCCCCUGCUUGGGGGUCUUCUGGGGCGUUAUGGGGGAUGCUGGCCAAGGAUAGCCACUGACCUUGAGCCUGCAGUCACCCACUGGCCAUUUCCCCCACCCCAGACACACGCAUUGAGGGCCACGCACCUAAAGGCCCAAAGGCACAAGGCCGGGGGUCCCGGUCUGACGGCGACUGAAGGCAGAUGGACCCUGGAGGAUGACCUCAGGGCCCACCCAUGGCGGAGCCUGGGCAGAGACGCCCACCGUGGUACUGCUGGCAGAGAUGACGCGCUCCAGGACCGGCUGCAGCGUCCUUCCCACCGGGCAGGGAGGAUGGGGAGCAGCUCCCACCCCCUCAGGACCGGGACCAAAGGAGGCCUCUUGAGACUGGGAAGCCCCCUGGGGCGGGGGCGAAGGCAGGACAAAGAGGCUGGCUGACCCAUUACAGACACCCAGGCUCAGAGCCCUGAGCUUCCUGGCAGCCAGGGAGAGAAGAGAAACCAGGGCUGUCCACAGGGGUGAGAACCGGGGGGACGAAGGGGCUGUGGCCUUUGGGACCCCCCCACAGACACACAGGGUCCUGGUCUAAGGCCAGCGGCACCAACUCAACCCCCUUCCCCCCAGGACCCCUUCCCAGGGCACAAACCUGGAAGCCCACCUUGGCGCAGACACUGGGCCAGCGGGAGCCUCGCGGGCCGAGGCUGGGGCUGAGACCACUGCCAAUGCCACGGCCCAGGGCCUGGGGAUGGGCCCGUCCCCCCAGCGGCUCCCCACGGGCCCGCCUCGUACCUGGCAAUGCUUCCUUCCUGGAUGGCGGACAGACCUGGGCUCAGCCCCGAGAAACAGCCUGUCCCCCCGGGGCAGCCCCACCUCUCAGUUCCUCCAAACGUCACCACACGGGCCUGUGGGGACUUCGCUUGUCCUCCACACAAGAUGGGGAAUCCCCGGCGAGGUGGGCACGGCCAGGGACACCCCUCUCCCCAGCCUCGCCCAGCACCCCUUCCAGGGCAGCCGGACCCCAGACCACAGAGAGGAGGGGCCCCGGGCUGACCACCACGCCUGAGCCGAGCUCUGUUGGUCCUGCUGGCCUAGGCCUGGGCACAUCCACCACGCGCCCCCAUGCACGGGCCACGCGGAGCUCACUCGCACCCCCACACCCCGACACGCCGAGGGGAGCGGCCCCGGAGCGCUGUCCUCUGCCACCCGGCGGCGACCGUGUGAAACAAGCGCACAGCAGGUUCAGAGCGUCUGCUCUCCGGCGAGACGACCCUCACCUGCUCCUGAAACCUCCAGUGGCCAAUUUUAUUAGAAAGAAGGUAUCAAAAUAAAUGAAUCUGUUU